RNAcentral lists this transfer RNA (78 nucleotides) under Kordia algicida OT-1. RNAcentral's name for it is "tRNA-Val". It matches the Rfam family "tRNA". Rfam says of the family: Transfer RNA (tRNA) molecules are approximately 80 nucleotides in length. Their secondary structure includes four short double-helical elements and three loops (D, anti-codon, and T loops). Lineage: Bacteria; Pseudomonadati; Bacteroidota; Flavobacteriia; Flavobacteriales; Flavobacteriaceae. The record is from RNAcentral.
GGGUGAUUAGCUCAGCUGGUUCAGAGCACCUGCCUUACAAGCAGGGGGUCACUGGUUCGAAUCCAGUAUUACCCACAA